GGCGACGUGGCCGAGUGGCUUAGGCGUGGGUCUGCAAAACCCAUUACCCCGGUUCGAUUCCGGGCGUCGCCUCCA
Molecule: transfer RNA, 75 nt
Filed under: Acidimicrobiia bacterium
Lineage: Bacteria; Bacillati; Actinomycetota; Acidimicrobiia
Description: tRNA-Cys
Rfam family: tRNA
About the family: Transfer RNA (tRNA) molecules are approximately 80 nucleotides in length.
Source: RNAcentral